AGUGAACGCUAGCGGCGUGCUUAACACAUGCAAGUCGAACGAGAACGGAUUAUAGCUUGCUAUAAUUGUCAGCUAAGUGGCGCACGGGUGAGUAAUGUAUAGGUAAUAUGCCUCUUACUAAGGGAUAACAAAUGGAAACGCUUGCUAAUACCUUAUACUCCUUAUUAACAGAAGUUAAUAAGGGAAAGAUUUAUUGGUAAGAGAUUAGCCUGUAUUGUAUCAGUUAGUUGGUGGGGUAAUGGCUUACCAAGACUAUGACACAUAACUGGUUUGAGAGGAUGAUCAGUCACACUGGAACUGAGACACGGUCCAGACUCCUACGGGAGGCAGCAGUGGGGAAUAUUGCACAAUGGACGAAAGUCUGAUGCAGCAACGCCGCGUGGAGGAUGACACAUUUCGGUGCGUAAACUCCUUUUAUAUGAGAAGAUAAUGACGGUAUUAUAUGAAUAAGCACCGGCUAACUCCGUGCCAGCAGCCGCCGUAA
This 484-nucleotide ribosomal RNA is filed under the name uncultured bacterium. RNAcentral describes it as "partial 16S ribosomal RNA". It matches the Rfam family "Bacterial small subunit ribosomal RNA", at positions 29 to 523 of the family's 1533-position model. The record is from RNAcentral.